AUGUGUUUAGCAUCCAUGCUCAGUCAGAGUGACACUGCUCUCCCCAGUUACAACACUCUGUCAGUCUACUCUGGGGUUCAGUCGGCUCCUUCUUCGUCUGCCUCCUCAUACUCGUGCAUGCUGCCUCCAUCCCCGUCUGCCCCUCGUUCGUUUGAGACAUCAUACUCCUCUCCCCAUCUACCACCUCCUCCUUCAGCUAACACCAGCACAGGUGAGUCUACCAGCUCUUCAUUUACUGUCAGCUAAAGCCCUGUGCUAUCCAUCACAAGAUCCCAACAAUUACUGUUUGAAACACUUUCAAUAGCUCCUGUCUAUUUAUGGAUUUAGUUAUUUGUUUGCUGACAAUUUACUUAUCUACAUCCAAUAUGUAGAUGAGUUUGCUUCUUUAUCUUAACAGAUUUGGAGAAAUGUAGCAUUCCAUCACUUGCUCACCAAUGGAUCCUCUGCAGUGAAUGGGUGCCGUCAGAAUGAGAGUCCAAACAGCUGAUUAAAAACAUCACAAUAAUCCACACCACUCCAGUCCAUCAAUUUGAGAAGUGAAAAGCUGCGUGUCUCGAAGAAACAAAUAAUAGUAAUUGAUGGACUGGAGUGGUGUGGAUUAUUGUGAUGUUUUUAUCAGCUGUUUGGACUCUCAUUCUGACGGCACCCAUUCACUGCAGAGGAUCCAUUGGUGACCAAGUGAUGGAAUGCUACAUUUCUCCAAAUCGGUUCCGAUGAAGACAUAAACUCACCUGCAUCUUGGUGAGAGUGAGCUAAUCUUCAGCAAAUUUGCAUUUUAGACCGAAUUAUUAUUUUAUUGGAUAAAAGUGCAUUAUUUUUUUCUAUCUUUUUCUGCUUUAGGUUUGAUUUCUCCAGGCGUUUCUGUACCUGUCCAGGUACCAGGAAAUGAUCAAAAUAUGGGGCAGUAUUGGGCCAGACUGUAGUGAAAAGAAAAGGCGAGGUAGAAUUUGCAUUAGAAUACUAAAUAUGUAUGUUUACAAAAGGUCAGAAACAAAGAAAUUGUUCUAAACUCUGAGAAAAAUAAUCCUCUGUUAGUUAAACCUAUGAACAAAAUUCCUUAAUUUGAUUUAUUUUAGCCAUAGUAUUAGAUCUGAUGACAGUGUGCUAUAUUUUCUUCCAUUCAAUUUCGGACAAACAGGAAUGUAUAUGAUGAAGCAUUGUGCAAUGACAUUCGUGACGGUAUUUUUUUAGCAAAUGUCUCUUCAGAAUCAUUGUAAUAAGUUCCUGGUGUCAACUUCACAGAAUUGGGAAUCAUAGUAUGAUGUUUUAAUAACAUACCUGUGGUUUUAGCUUCUUUCAUGAUAAUUCCUAAUUUCUCCACUGUAAUUUUCUCUAAAGUCAUUUGUUUAUUUUCAUAAUCAGAUAUGUGAUAUCACUUUAUGAAAUGUUUUUGACCUUACCCUUUCACAAACCUCAGUAAGCUUGUGACAAUCAAGGCAUAAGGCCAAGUUCAAUCAGAGCAGGGACUGAAAGCCAGUCAUAUUUGCACUUAAUCAAUGACCAGUAAACAGCUGUUUGACUUAAACAAUCACAUCAAUGAAUACUUUAUGCAAAAAUCUCCAGCAUAUCUUAUCUGGCAAGCCAAAGUAUUUAUAUUGAACAUAGUGUCAUACAGUAUAUAUAUUUAUGACUCUGAAAAAAUGUUUGAAUAUUAGGAAACUGUCUCUGUGCUUAAACUACAGUUUAUGGAUUUUUUUUGUUUUAUGAAUUUAAAGACAUUCUGUGUGUGUGUGUGUGUGUGUGUGUGUGUGUGUGUGUGAAGGAGAGCGAGAGAGAAAUAAGGAUUUACAAUGAGGUAUGAAAGCAUUAGUGAAAUUGCUUCUUUUCAUUCUUUGAAAAUUAACAACACUUUUUUUUUUAUUUAAAUUUUAUUAGCACAGAAAAGUUGAACUGAAAAAUCAACAUUAAUUUCAGACUGUUCAGAAUCUUGCUUUUUAUUUAAUGACAGCCACGCUUAAAGGAAUGGUUCACCAAAAAUGAAAAUCUGCUAAAAAUUUGCUCAUCCUCAGGUCAUCCAAGAUGUAGAUGAGUUUUUCUUCACUGGAGCAGGUUUGGAGAAAUGUAGCAUUGCAUCACUUGCUCACCGGUGAAUCCUCUGCAGUGAAUGGGUGCCGUCAGAAUGAGAGUCCAAACAGCUGAUAAAAACAUCACAAUAUUCUGCAAGUAAUCCACACCACUCCAGUCCAUCAGUUAAUGAAUUGUGAAUUGAAAAGCUGUGUUUUUGUGAGAAACAAAUCCACCAUUAAUGUGUUUUAGCUUUAAACUGUUUCUCCUGGACAGAAUUCGAGUCCAUAAUUGAUAGACAUUAAUUGAUGUAUUUGAGUUGUGUGGAUUACUGUUAUGUUUUUAUGCUAAAUUUCUCUUAUUUCUCUAUUCCUUUAAACUGGUAUUUUAAAAUAUUUUGAUGUCAAUUUCUGACCCUACUGUACUGUAUGUGGAUGCUGUGUUCACUCAAGAUAGUCAACCUACUUCAUGUAUGCAUUAAACCCUUUAAUAAAAUAUAUAUUGUAUCUUACA
Molecule: long non-coding RNA, 2517 nt
Organism: Cyprinus carpio (common carp)
Lineage: Eukaryota; Metazoa; Chordata; Actinopteri; Cypriniformes; Cyprinidae
Source: Ensembl